AGCAGUUUCAAAACUGCAGUUCCGAGAUUUCAGCGGAAUUAAUUUGAGCGACGAUUUCACAACCCAAUCUCUCUCUUCUCUCUCCGUCAAUUAAAUUCUCAUUCAUUCUCUCUUCCCCCAAUUCAAUCCUUCCCCAAACCCUAGACGCCACCAAAUCUAACUGUGGAAUUGAAUUCAUGCCUAAUUUUCGCCGUCAACAAGACGAAAAUUGUACAUUAUUCCAUCGUACGACAGCUUUAGAAGACCGAUUCCAGUGAUUUCAGCGUAGGGGAACAACAAACUCACGAUUUGCAGUCAUUUUGCAGUGAGUAAUUGCGUAUUUGUGCUUAAUACGGAAAAUGCUGAAGAGGGGUCGCUCUUCCAAUAGCCAGGCAAGUCAAAAGACAUGUGUGUGAACUAUAUGUUACAACACAUUUUUAUACAUUGUUAAAGCUAAUUUGUACAUUAUUUACCACGGGUUUGCUACAUUAUCUUGUGGUAUGGUAUGAAAUGUGUUACAUUAUCAGCUCAAUAUGAUCUUCUGUACUGAUGGACUAUAUUAAUUCUGUAUUAUGGUAUGAUCUGUUAUAAUUUUAAAUGUUUAGAGUUACAUUAUAUGCUUCAUAAGGAUACAUUAUCUGCUUACAGUAGACCGUGAUACAUUAUUUAGGCGUAUGUUUACAUUAUUAUAUACAAGUAAUUUGUUAUAUUAUUGUUUGUUUUUGUUUGUAUUGUUACAUUAAUAUGAUUAUUGAGUUACAUCGUAUGCUUCUUGGUUUUGUAUUUGCUUACCAUAUGAUUUGAUACAUUAUUUAAGCAAAUGCUUACAUUAUUUCAAACUGAUGUUCUACAUUGUUGUGUGUUAAAACUAAAGAAUGUUACAUUAAUAAACUUGUUCAGUUACAUUAUCUGCUCCCUAUUGGUACAGUAAAUAAGCUUACAUUACGCCUUUACACAUCGUUGCAACUGAUACUUACAUUAUUUCGUACCGAUGUGUUACAUUUAGUUUGUUAUUGCCAAUAAUGUAAUUCUGUGUUUUCUAGUAAUGUAACAUUAUGACUAAUCAAUGUUUAAUUUUCUGAAUAUGUACAAACAAGGCCAGAGUCGAUUAUGAUGAGGAUUUCAACGAUGACAUGCCUAUUGCAUUAGCGCAUCGGUUGCGACAAGAAAUGCCAGAAGAAAUGUUUAUUUGCUUAGAUUAGGAUGUGAUACAUUAUGCAAAUGUUUACAUUAUUUUGACUAGGACAUAUUACCAACACUUUCAUGUAAUUUAUGUUUUUACUUUUGUAUUUUUGGUUUCAUAGAGAAAUUAAUGUGCGAAUACGGUUUGUUAAUGCAUGAAUCCCACACAUUAAUGUAAA
Long non-coding RNA from Salvia splendens (bonfire salvia), 1340 nucleotides. RefSeq lists it as uncharacterized. NCBI's taxonomy places the organism in Eukaryota, Viridiplantae, Streptophyta, Magnoliopsida, Lamiales, Lamiaceae. The record is from RefSeq and is a predicted model, not a curated record. The transcript has 2 exons.